AUGAUAACCAUACCUGCUUUUUACUUGUUCAUCRUUAGCAGUGAAUAUAUAUAUAUUAGCCUUUUUUUUCAGGGUAGGAGAAUGAAAAUGUGUUUCUGGACAGCAGCCUCCCCUUCAAACAGCAGCUACUUCCACCGUGCUUUUUAUCCUCCCUAUUUACUCUUGCUUCAAGCAUCUCAAACAACUUUGUCCAGGACAGGAACAAAUAAAGAAGAGGAAACCCUGAAGAGCCCUGGGGACAUUCUGCAGCAUGUAACGCAAGGUGUUUGCACCCUGGGCCUGCCACCAAAGCAUACAGCCAUUAUAUCCACAGAAGGGCAGAAUUUUUUUAAUGAUGCACUCGAUUCUCUUUGGUUAAAAGUAUACAGAAAGCAUGCUAAAAAGCAAAAAAACUUUAAAACUUUGCAAUUGCAUGAAAAUCUAUUCCCUCUACAACACCAUCAUCUUUGAGGCUCCAGGCUGAGACAGAUGUUUCUGGUGUGUUACGUGCUUAUGAAUCUACGCAGUUGAAAAUGCCACUGAAAAAGCUAGCCUUAAUAUUUCAAACUGUUGCUACAGAAAAGAAAAAUAAGUCUUUUGAUGAGUUUAUAAAUGAGCUUAGUGAAAACUUUAAAGACUAUUAAGAAAGAAAUGGUAAAUACCGCUAUUAAGUUUGAAAAUCCAAAACCUACUAGUGAAAUGAUGAAAAAAGAUGCAUGAAUUUAAGAAGGUGGAACCUGAACCUCUAGGCAAAGAAGUCUUGAGAAUAACUGAAGCAUUCCAAAAAGCAAUAGAGAAUGCACCUGCCAAUGUUAAACAAAAUCCACAUUUCAGUGGGCAUGUUGAAUUGGCUGAAAUCUAGAUAGCAACAGCUCAAGCACCAGAAGCAACAGAGAAUUUGUUAGAGCAACUGUAUAAUUUUUUUCUAAAGCUUCCCUUGCUCCUCCCUUUCCAUCUCUGUCUCCAAUAUACUGUCUAGGAGAGAAUUCAGCUGAAACCAGAAAAUUAAGAACUUUGAUUAACCUGCUUUAUGAUUUUAGUCCUGAAUUAAAUACAUAUAUUGAUACCUACCCUGGGAAAAAUAUCACAGAAGAUAUUAUUGAAAAGCGAUUGCUGUGACUAAGGCUCUAAAACAUGUUUUCUGUGGAAAUUGGAACACAACAAAAAAGCAGGAGGGAAAUCAUUAGAAGAUACGAAACUUUUAAACCAUACUUUUAAGAAUGUUAAAGACACUUAAAAAAAAAAAAAAGUUAAAUAUGAAUAUCUGCAAUAUUGUCAUUGCCUUUUCUUGAGGCUUUAAAGAUUAAUUUUCAAWUUUCUCUGUUACCCAGUAGUUAAAAACUAUCAUUUUUAAAUUAUCRUGCUCAUAUCUGUGAUUUGAAAAUGACUCUGACAGGUUUUUUCUAUGAAAAAAAUCUGUUUGCAUUUGAAUGAAAUAUGCUUGGUCUAGUUACAGAGCUCUCUCUACUGCAAGAAUAUCCUAUAUUACUGUAUGUGUACCAUUUAGUGUAGAGAACUGGAUUUUUUUUUUAAUCUUUUCUUUUCUAAACCUAAAUAUCACUAAGGAUAUCUGCACUCGUGGAUUUGUGCCACAAUAAUACUAGGCUCCCAUUCAGAUAAGUACAACAUGCACAUUCCUGGUAUUUUAAUACUAUGUACAGAACAUAAUUGCUUUUUAUAUUUAAUUUUAAAAUACAUUUCAAACUUUCUAGUAGUCAUUUUUUCAUAAAUUUGUCAUAUUCAAUUAAAAUGUUUUUUCAAAACUCUUCUUCCUCUGCUUGAAGAAAAUAAAAAGCAACAGGCUCUUUUAAGCCA
Dromaius novaehollandiae (emu) is the source of this 1794-nucleotide long non-coding RNA. The record is from Ensembl. NCBI's taxonomy places the organism in Eukaryota, Metazoa, Chordata, Aves, Casuariiformes, Dromaiidae.